This 820-nucleotide ribosomal RNA is filed under the name uncultured bacterium. Its description in RNAcentral is "bacterial SSU rRNA". It matches the Rfam family "Bacterial small subunit ribosomal RNA", at positions 609 to 1430 of the family's 1533-position model. The record is from RNAcentral.
UCAACCNUUGUAGGCUUUGGAAACUGUUUAACUUGAGUGCAGAAGGGGAGAGUGGAAUUCCAUGUGUAGCGGUGAAAUGCGUAGAUAUAUGGAGGAACACCGGUGGCGAAAGCGGCUCCCUGGUCUGUAACUGACGCUGAGGCUCGAAAGCGUGGGGAGCGAACAGGAUUAGAUACCCUGGUAGUCCACGCCGUAAACGAUGAGUGCUAGGUGUUAGGUCCUUUCCGGGACUUAGUGCCGCAGCUAACGCAUUAAGCACUCCGCCUGGGGAGUACGACCGCAAGGUUGAAACUCAAAGGAAUUGACGGGGGCCCGCACAAGCGGUGGAGCAUGUGGUUUAAUUCGAAGCAACGCGAAGAACCUUACCAGGUCUUGACAUCCCGAUGCCCGCUCUAGAGAUAGAGCUUUACUUCGGUACAUCGGUGACAGGUGGUGCAUGGUUGUCGUCAGCUCGUGUCGUGAGAUGUUGGGUUAAGUCCCGCAACGAGCGCAACCCUUAUUGUUAGUUGCCAUCAUUCAGUUGGGCACUCUAGCGAGACUGCCGGUAAUAAACCGGAGGAAGGUGGGGAUGACGUCAAAUCAUCAUGCCCCUUAUGACCUGGGCUACACACGUGCUACAAUGGCUGGUACAACGAGUCGCAAGCCGGUGACGGCAAGCUAAUCUCUGAAAGCCAGUCUCAGUUCGGAUUGUAGGCUGCAACUCGCCUACAUGAAGUCGGAAUCGCUAGUAAUCGCGGAUCAGCACGCCGCGGUGAAUACGUUCCCGGGCCUUGUACACACCGCCCGUCACACCACGAGAGUUUGUAACACCCGAAGUCGG